UUGCUCCUGCUGACGAGCGGCGGACGGGUGAGUAACGCGUAGGAAUCUGCCUAGUAGAGGGGGACAACAUGUGGAAACGCAUGCUAAUACCGCAUACGCCCUAAGGGGGAAAGGAGGGGACUCUUCGGAGCCUUCCGCUAUUAGAUGAGCCUGCGUGAGAUUAGCUAGUUGGUAGGGUAAAGGCCUACCAAGGCGACGAUCUCUAACUGGUCUGAGAGGAUGACCAGUCACACUGGGACUGAGACACGGCCCAGACUCCUACGGGAGGCAGCAGUGGGGAAUAUUGGACAAUGGGCGCAAGCCUGAUCCAGCCAUGCCGCGUGUGUGAAGAAGGCCUUAGGGUUGUAAAGCACUUUCAGGGGUGAGGAAGGGUAAUGGAUUAAUACUUCAUUACUUUGACGUUAGCCCCAGAAGAAGCACCGGCUAACUCUGUGCCAGCAGCCGCGGUAAUACAGAGGGUGCAAGCGUUAAUCGGAAUUACUGGGCGUAAAGCGCGCGUAGGUGGUUUGUUAAGUCGGAUGUGAAAUCCCAGGGCUCAACCUUGGAAUGGCACCCGAUACUGGCUAGCUAGAGUAUGGUAGAGGGGUGUGGAAUUUCCUGUGUAGCGGUGAAAUGCGUAGAUAUAGGAAGGAACAUCAGUGGCGAAGGCGA
Molecule: ribosomal RNA, 651 nt
Filed under: Marinomonas primoryensis
Lineage: Bacteria; Pseudomonadati; Pseudomonadota; Gammaproteobacteria; Oceanospirillales; Oceanospirillaceae
Description: bacterial SSU rRNA
Rfam family: Bacterial small subunit ribosomal RNA
Source: RNAcentral